AAGCCAGACGAGCUGUAAAACAUGAACGGAAGAGUGGAUUAUUUGGUCACUGAGGAAGAGAUCAAUCUUACCAGAGGGCCCUCAGUUGCUGAUUGUUGGAGGUUCUUUUGGUCUUCGUGAGUUUUCUCAAAUCCGAUAUGAUGCUGUGAAGAGUAAAAUGGAUCCUGAGCUUGAAAAAAAACUGAAAGAGAAUAAAAUAUCUUUAGAGUCGGAAUAUGAGAAAAUCAAAGACUCCAAGUUUGAUGACUGGAAGAAUAUUCGAGGACCCAGGCCUUGGGAAGAUCCUGACCUCCUCCAAGGAAGAAAUCCAGAAAGCCU
Molecule: long non-coding RNA, 318 nt
Filed under: Homo sapiens (human)
Lineage: Eukaryota; Metazoa; Chordata; Mammalia; Primates; Hominidae
Description: non-protein coding lnc-SYNJ2BP-1:1
Source: RNAcentral